Molecule: ribosomal RNA, 500 nt
Filed under: uncultured bacterium
Lineage: Bacteria
Description: partial 16S ribosomal RNA
Rfam family: Bacterial small subunit ribosomal RNA
Source: RNAcentral
AUUGAACGCUGGCGGCAUGCCUUACACAUGCAAGUCGAACGGCAGCACGGGAGCAAUCCUGGUGGCGAGUGGCGAACGGGUGAGUAAUAUAUCGGAACGUGCCCAGUCGUGGGGGAUAACGUAGCGAAAGCUACGCUAAUACCGCAUACGAUCUAUGGAUGAAAGCGGGGGACCGCAAGACCUCGCGCGAUUGGAGCGGCCGAUAUCAGAUUAGGUAGUUGGUGGGGUAAAGGCCCACCAAGCCGACGAUCUGUAGCUGGUCUGAGAGGACGACCAGCCACACUGGGACUGAGACACGGCCCAGACUCCUACGGGAGGCAGCAGUGGGGAAUUUUGGACAAUGGGCGCAAGCCUGAUCCAGCAAUGCCGCGUGCAGGAUGAAGGCCUUCGGGUUGUAAACUGCUUUUGUACGAGACGAAAAGACUCGCUCUAAUACAGUGGGUACAUGACGGUAUCGUAAGAAUAAGCACCGGUUAACUACGUGCCAGCCGCCGCUGUAA